CGCCCGUCGCUCCUACCGAUUGGGUGUGCUGGUGAAGCGUUCGGAUUGGCGUCAAUUGGUGGUUCGCCGCCGGCUGUCGCUGAGAAGUUCGUUAAACCCUCCCACCGAGAGGAAGGAGAAGUCGUAACAAGGUUUCC
RNAcentral lists this ribosomal RNA (137 nucleotides) under uncultured Trebouxiophyceae. RNAcentral's name for it is "partial small subunit ribosomal RNA". It matches the Rfam family "Eukaryotic small subunit ribosomal RNA", at positions 1670 to 1804 of the family's 1831-position model. The record is from RNAcentral. Lineage: Eukaryota; Viridiplantae; Chlorophyta; Trebouxiophyceae.